Molecule: ribosomal RNA, 330 nt
Filed under: uncultured bacterium
Lineage: Bacteria
Description: bacterial SSU rRNA
Rfam family: Bacterial small subunit ribosomal RNA
Source: RNAcentral
UGCGCAGGCGGUUGUGUAAGACAGAUGUGAAAUGCCCGGGCUUAACCUGGGAACUGCAUUUGUGACUGCACGGCUAGAAUCUAGCAGAGGGGGGUAGAAUUCCACGUGUAGCAGUGAAAUGCGUAGAUAUGUGGAGGAAUACCGAUGGCGAAGGCAGCCCCCUGGGCUAAGAUUGACGCUCAUGCACGAAAGCGUGGGGAGCAAACAGGAUUAGAUACCCUGGUAGUCCACGCCCUAAACGAUGUCUACUAGUUGUCGGGUCUUAAUUGACUUGGUAACGCAGCUAACGCGUGAAGUAGACCGCCUGGGGAGUACGGUCGCAAGAUUAAA